This 647-nucleotide ribosomal RNA is filed under the name uncultured bacterium. RNAcentral describes it as "bacterial SSU rRNA". It matches the Rfam family "Bacterial small subunit ribosomal RNA", at positions 110 to 753 of the family's 1533-position model. The record is from RNAcentral.
GUAAUACAUCGGAACGUGCCCAGUAGUGGGGGAUAGCCCGGCGAAAGCCGGAUUAAUACCGCAUACGACCUACGGGUGAAAGCGGGGGACCGAAAGGCCUCGCGCUAUUGGAGCGGCCGAUGGCUGAUUAGCUAGUUGGUGGGGUAAAGGCCUACCAAGGCUACGAUCAGUCGCUGGUCUGAGAGGACGACCAGCCACACUGGGACUGAGACACGGCCCAGACUCCUACGGGAGGCAGCAGUGGGGAAUUUUGGACAAUGGGCGAAAGCCUGAUCCAGCAAUGCCGCGUGUGCGAAGAAGGCCUUCGGGUUGUAAAGCACUUUUGUCAGGAAAGAAAUUGUCUGGGCUAAUACCCCGGGCCGUUGACGGUACCUGAAGAAUAAGCACCGGCUAACUACGUGCCAGCAGCCGCGGUAAUACGUAGGGUGCGAGCGUUAAUCGGAAUUACUGGGCGUAAAGCGUGCGCAGGCGGUUUGUUAAGACAGUUGUGAAAUCCCCGGGCUCAACCUGGGAACUGCAAUUGUGACUGGCAGGCUAGAGUUUGGCAGAGGGGGGUGGAAUUCCUGGUGUAGCAGUGAAAUGCGUAGAUAUCAGGAGGAACACCGAUGGCGAAGGCAGCCCCCUGGGCCAUGACUGACGCUCAUGCA